RNAcentral lists this ribosomal RNA (1452 nucleotides) under uncultured prokaryote. RNAcentral's name for it is "partial 16S ribosomal RNA". It matches the Rfam family "Bacterial small subunit ribosomal RNA". The record is from RNAcentral.
GAUGAACGCUAGCGGCAGGCUUAACACAUGCAAGUCGAGGGGUAACAGGGAAGCUUGCUUUCGCUGACGACCGGCGCACGGGUGCGUAACACGUAUACAACUUACCUUUAACUGGGGCAUAGCCCGAAGAAAUUCGGAUUAAUACCCCAUAACAAUGAGAGAUCGCAUGAUUUUUCAUUUAAAGCUCCGGCGGUUAAAGAUGGGUAUGCGGUCUAUUAGCUUGUUGGUGAGGUAACGGCUCACCAAGGCUACGAUGUCUAGGGGGUCUGAGAGGAUGAUCCCCCACACUGGUACUGAGACACGGACCAGACUCCUACGGGAGGCAGCAGUAAGGAAUAUUGGUCAAUGGACGAAAGUCUGAACCAGCUAUGCCGCGUGCAGGAUGAAGGCCCUCUGGGUCGUAAACUGCUUUUGUAUGGGAAAAAACUUCCGCACGUGUGCGGAACUGAUGGUACCAUAAGAAUAAGGAUCGGCUAACUCCGUGCCAGCAGCCGCGGUAAUACGGAGGAUCCAAGCGUUAUCCGGAUUUAUUGGGUUUAAAGGGUGCGUAGGCGGAUUAUUAAGUCAGUGGUGAAAGUCUGCAGCUUAACUGUAGAAUUGCCAUUGAAACUAUUAAUCUUGAGUUCAGUUGAGGUGGGCGGAAUGUGUAGUGUAGCGGUGAAAUGCAUAGAUAUGACACAGAACGCCGAUUGCGAAGGCAGCUUACUAAGCCAUGAUUGACGCUGAGGCACGAAAGCGUGGGGAGCGAACAGGAUUAGAUACCCUGGUAGUCCACGCCGUAAACGAUGAUCACUCGCUGUCUGCGAUACACAGUAGGCGGCUGAGCGAAAGCAUUAAGUGAUCCACCUGGGGAGUACGAUCGCAAGGUUGAAACUCAAAGGAAUUGACGGGGGCCCGCACAAGCGGAGGAACAUGUGGUUUAAUUCGAUGAUACGCGAGGAACCUUACCUGGGCUUAAAUGUAGAUUGCAUAGAUGGGAAACUGGUCUUUCUUCGGACGGAUUGCAAGGUGCUGCAUGGUUGUCGUCAGCUCGUGCCGUGAGGUGUCGGGUUAAGUCCCAUAACGAGCGCAACCCUCAUCAUUAGUUGCCAGCGGAUAAUGCCGGGGACUCUAAUGAAACUGCCGGUGUAAACCGAGAGGAAGGUGGGGAUGACGUCAAGUCAGCACGGCCCUUAUGUCCAGGGCUACACACGUGUUACAAUGGUCGGUACAAAGGGCAGCUACCUGGCGACAGGAUGCUAAUCUCUAAAACCGAUCUCAGUUCGGAUCGAAGUCUGCAACUCGACUUCGUGAAGCUGGAUUCGCUAGUAAUCGCGCAUCAGCCUGUCGCGGUGAAUACGUUCCCGGGCCUUGUACACACCGCCCGUCACACCAUGGGAGUAGGUUGCUCCAGAAGUAGUUAGCCUAACCGCAAGGAGGGCGAUUACCACGGAGUGAUUCAUGACUGGGGUG